ACCGUGUACGUACAAGCAGUGGGAGCACAGGUUUACCUGUGUGACUGCGUACCUUUUGUAUAAUGGGUCAGCGACUUAUAUUCUGUAGCAAGGUUAACCGUAUAGGGGAGCCGAAGGGAAACCGAGUCUUAACCGGGCGUUAAGUUGCAGGGUAUAGACCCGAAACCCGGUGAUCUAGCCAUGGGCAGGUUGAAGGUUGGGUAACACUAACUGGAGGACCGAACCGACUAAUGUUGAAAAAUUAGCGGAUGACCUGUGGCUGGGGGUGAAAGGCCAAUCAAACCGGGAGAUAGCUGGUUCUCCCCGAAAGCUAUUUAGGUAGCGCCUCGUGAAUUCAUCUCCGGGGGUAGAGCACUGUUUCGGCUAGGGGGCCAUCCCGGCUUACCAACCCGAUGCAAACUGCGAAUACCGGAGAAUGUUAUCACGGGAGACACACGGCGGGUGCUAACGUCCGUCGUGAAGAGGGAAACAACCCAGACCGCCAGCUAAGGUCCCAAAGUCAUGGUUAAGUGGGAAACGAUGUGGGAAGGCCCAGACAGCCAGGAUGUUGGCUUAGAAGCAGCCAUCAUUUAAAGAAAGCGUAAUAGCUCACUGGUCGAGUCGGCCUGCGCG
This 612-nucleotide ribosomal RNA is filed under the name Salmonella enterica subsp. enterica serovar Newport. Its description in RNAcentral is "partial 23S ribosomal RNA". It matches the Rfam family "Bacterial large subunit ribosomal RNA", at positions 555 to 1165 of the family's 2925-position model. The record is from RNAcentral. Lineage: Bacteria; Pseudomonadati; Pseudomonadota; Gammaproteobacteria; Enterobacterales; Enterobacteriaceae.